Molecule: non-coding RNA, 297 nt
Organism: Cinara cedri
Lineage: Eukaryota; Metazoa; Arthropoda; Insecta; Hemiptera; Aphididae
Source: the annotation of a GenBank genome assembly
GUACACCGUCAACAAUUCUGAAAACACAAUGAUUGGAUUAAAUAUUAUAAUAUAUCAAUUCGAAUUUUACUGUUUUCUAUUCUGAACGAAGUGAGAAAUGUAUUGCUUUUAUUGGUGAUGUGUUUUAUUUUUGUUGCUGAUUUCUACCAAAAUCCUUGUACCAAUCAAAAACUUUAUAGGAAUUUUCUUGUAGCAUUUACGAUCAGGUUAGUGCAUUGAGGAGGUCGUUUACUAAUAUUACUUGUAGUAGUAGUCUUCAUAACAACGGGAAAAACUGGCAAUUUAUUGUAUCGAUUU